RNAcentral lists this ribosomal RNA (253 nucleotides) under uncultured bacterium. RNAcentral's name for it is "partial 16S ribosomal RNA". It matches the Rfam family "Bacterial small subunit ribosomal RNA", at positions 524 to 776 of the family's 1533-position model. The record is from RNAcentral.
GACGUAGGGGGCCAGCGUUGUUCGGAAUUACUGGGUGUAAAGGGUUCGUAGGCGGUGUGGCAAGUCGGGAGUGAAAUUUCUGGGCUCAACUCAGAGACUGCUUCCGAAACUGCUGUGCUGGAGUGUGGGAGAGGCGCGUGGAAUUGCAGGUGUAGCGGUGAAAUGCGUAGAUAUCUGCAGGAACACCCGUGGCGAAAGCGGCGCGCUGGACCACUACUGACGCUGAGGAACGAAAGCUAGGGGAGCAAAUGGG